AACGAACGCUGGCGGCAGGCUUAACACAUGCAAGUCGAACGCACCUUUCGGGGUGAGUGGCAGACGGGUGAGUAACGCGUGGGAAUCUACCCUUCUCUACGGGAUAGCUCCGGGAAACUGGAAUUAAUACCGUAUACGUCCUGAGGGAGAAAGAUUUAUCGUGGAAGGAUGAGCCCGCGUUGGAUUAGCUAGUUGGUGGGGUAAAGGCCUACCAAGGCGACGAUCCAUAGCUGGUCUAAGAGGAUGAUCAGCCACAUUGGGACUGAGACACGGCCCAAACUCCUACGGGAGGCAGCAGUGGGGAAUAUUGGACAAUGGGCGCAGGCCUGAUCCAGCCAUGCCGCGUGAGUGAUGAAGGCCCUAGGGUUGUAAAGCUCUUUCAGGGGGGACGAUAAUGACGGUACCCACAGAAGAAGCCCCGGCUAACUUCGUG
This 433-nucleotide ribosomal RNA is filed under the name uncultured bacterium. Its description in RNAcentral is "partial 16S ribosomal RNA". It matches the Rfam family "Bacterial small subunit ribosomal RNA", at positions 29 to 507 of the family's 1533-position model. The record is from RNAcentral.